RNAcentral lists this microRNA precursor (58 nucleotides) under Panagrellus redivivus. RNAcentral's name for it is "microRNA prd-mir-7940c precursor". The record is from miRBase by way of RNAcentral. Lineage: Eukaryota; Metazoa; Nematoda; Chromadorea; Rhabditida; Panagrolaimidae.
UGUGAGACGGAUCUCCGGUCAUUUGCAAUGAGUUAAUGACUGGAAUUGCGUCUUUCGU